AUUGAACGCUGGCGGCAUGCCUUACACAUGCAAGUCGAACGGCAGCAUGAUCUAGUUUGCUAGAUUGAUGGCGAGUGGCGAACGGGUGAGUCAUACAUCGGAACGUGCCCUCUAGUGGGGGAUAACUAGUCGAAAGAUUAGCUAAUACCGCAUACGUCCUGAGGCUGAAAGUGGGGGACCGCAAGGCCUCAUGCUAUAGGAGCGGCCGGUGUGUGAUUAGCUAGUUGGUGAGGUAAAGUCUCACCAAGGGGACGAUCAGUAGCUGAUCUGAGAGAACGAUCAGCGACACUGGAAGUGAGACACGGCCCAGACUCCUGCGAGAGGCAGCAGUGGGGAAUUUUAGACAAUGGGCGAAAGCCUGAUCCAGCAAUGCCGCGUGUGUGAAGAAGGCCUUCGGGUUGUAAAGCACUUUUGUCCGGAAAGAAAUGGCUCUGGUUAAUACGUGGCGUCAAUGACGGUACCGGAAGAAUAAGGACCGGCUAACUACGUG
This 490-nucleotide ribosomal RNA is filed under the name uncultured bacterium. Its description in RNAcentral is "partial 16S ribosomal RNA". It matches the Rfam family "Bacterial small subunit ribosomal RNA", at positions 30 to 507 of the family's 1533-position model. The record is from RNAcentral.